UACGGAGGGUGCAAACGUUGCUCGGAAUCAUUGGGCGUAAAGCGCACGUAGGUGGUUUGUUAAGUCGGGUGUGAAAGCCCUGGGCUCAACCCAGGAAGUGCACUCGAAACUGGCAGACUUGAGUACUGAAGAGGGUCGCGGAAUUCCCGGUGUAGAGGUGAAAUUCGUAGAUAUCGGGAGGAACACCAGUGGCGAAGGCGGCGACCUGGGCAGAUACUGACGCUGAGGAGCGAAAGCCAGGGGAGCAAACGGG
RNAcentral lists this ribosomal RNA (253 nucleotides) under uncultured bacterium. RNAcentral describes it as "partial 16S ribosomal RNA". It matches the Rfam family "Bacterial small subunit ribosomal RNA", at positions 524 to 776 of the family's 1533-position model. The record is from RNAcentral.